CCUACGGGCGGCAGCAGUGAGGAAUAUUGGUCAAUGGACGAGAGUCUGAACCAGCCAAGUAGCGUGAAGGAUGACUGCCCUAUGGGUUGUAAACUUCUUUUAUAUGGGAAUAAAACGUUCCACGUGUGGGAUUUUGUAUGUACCAUAUGAAUAAGGAUCGGCUAACUCCGUGCCAGCAGCCGCGGUAAUACGGAGGAUCCGAGCGUUAUCCGGAUUUAUUGGGUUUAAAGGGAGCGUAGGUGGAUUUGUAAGUCAGUUGUGAAAGUUUGCGGCUCAACCGUAAAAUUGCAGUUGAAACUGGCAGUCUUGAGUACAGUAGAGGUGGGCGGAAUUCGUGGUGUAGCGGUGAAAUGCUUAGAUAUCACGAAGAACUCCGAUUGCGAAGGCAGUUCACUGGACUGCAACUGACACUGAGGCUCGAAAGUGUGGGUAUCAAACAGGAUUAGAUACCCCUGUAGUC
Molecule: ribosomal RNA, 460 nt
Filed under: uncultured bacterium
Lineage: Bacteria
Description: partial 16S ribosomal RNA
Rfam family: Bacterial small subunit ribosomal RNA
Source: RNAcentral